AGACACCUAAGCCCACGCCCCUGCCUGGCGGCAGACGCCACUGGGUUGAGAAACUAUCUGAUGGAGAGAUGGGAGAGAGGGAGUACUGGUGGAGAGAAAGCGAAGCUGAGUGGUCCCUGCACUGUGGACAGAGGUGGAGCUGGAGAUGUGAUUGUGGUAAAGAGCAGGCAGAUGUGAGGAGCCAGGGCAACCCCCUAGGGCCAUGGAAGUCCAGGCCUGAGCUGCUACUAAGAGCCAGGUCUCUACUGCACCUGGGGUUUGUGUUGAUGUCUGUGGCCUGUGUAGCCAUCGAAGGCCAUCUGGCCUGACUUGGAUUUUUGGAAACUCAACGGCCACAUCUACUGACACCCUUUCUGCAACAAGACCACACCUUCUAAUCCUUUUCAAGUGGUGAUACUUCCUGAUGACCAUACAUUCAAGUAUAUGAGCUUCUGAGGGCCAUUCUUAGUCAAACCGCUUCACACAGAUUGCAAACUGUCAAGGAAAAUGUAUUCAGAAGAAAAAUAAAAGCACAGCAAGAAAGUAUCAGGAUCAGGAGUUCAAGGGUUUCUGCUAUUAUCUAGGGCUUCCUUUUAUGGAGUGGACUAUUGCAUGGAAGAAGGUGGAGGGAGGAGUUGGUAGGGUAAGAUGGACUGUUCUCUGUUUUGCCAUACAGACUUGGGUUACAUAAGCAUUUCUUGACUGCAUAUCCUUUUCCAUGGUACAUCUGAAUUUAAUCAUAUGCAUAUGUAAUUAUGAACAAGCAAAAGAUGGUACAUAGGGGAAAUUUCCCCUAAAAGUUCACUUUUAGGACAGUUUGCCUUACUGUGCAUAUAUCUAAACCUUGUUCAGGCAUCUCCCCCCAUCUCCGGUCUGAUAUGUUCCACAACAGGAUUGAAUGGAAACUGACCCCAAAAGGGAGGUUCCAAGAGGUAGCUAAGGAGACAAACCUUACUCAGGGCUUGGAUCACGGAGCAGC
RNAcentral lists this long non-coding RNA (958 nucleotides) under Mus musculus (house mouse). RNAcentral's name for it is "long non-coding RNA chr7:89999574-90000532". The record is from RNAcentral. Lineage: Eukaryota; Metazoa; Chordata; Mammalia; Rodentia; Muridae.